CGCCUCUUGAAUUAAUAUAAGAGGUCCAGCCUGCCCAGUGACCCUGUUCAACGGCCGCGGUAUCCUAACCGUGCGAAGGUAGCGUAAUCACUUGUUCUUUAAAUGAGGACUUGUAUGAACGGCAUCACGAAGGUUAUACUGUCUCCUUUUUCUAAUCAGUGAACCUAAUCUCCCCGUGAAGAAGCGGGGAUGUAAUUAUAAGACGAGAAGACCCUAUGGAGCUUAAAACAACACAGCACUUGCUAAAAAACUAAACAAUUUCAGAAUUCUCAUUUUCUAAGCAACAUGACUGUAAGUUUUUGGUUGGGGUGACCACGGAGUAUAAUAUAACCUCCAUGUUGGAAGAAUUUUAUUCUAAGCCAAAAAUUACAUUUUUAAGCAUCAAUAAAUUGACAUCUAUUGACCCAAUAUAUUUGAACAACGAACCAAGUUACCCUAGGGAUAACAGCGCAAUCCACUUCAAGAGCUCCUAUCGACAAGUGGGUUUACGACCUCGAUGUUGGAUCAGGGUAUCCCAGUGGUGCAGCCGCUACUAAAGGUUCGUUUGUUCAACGAUUAAAACCCU
Molecule: ribosomal RNA, 565 nt
Filed under: Peltophryne empusa (Cuban small-eared toad)
Lineage: Eukaryota; Metazoa; Chordata; Amphibia; Anura; Bufonidae
Description: Peltophryne empua (Cuban small-eared toad) partial 16S ribosomal RNA
Rfam family: Bacterial large subunit ribosomal RNA
Source: RNAcentral